GCCUUAUCAAGAGAGGUGGAGGGACAGGCCCGAUGAAGCCCAGCAACCGUUAAAAGCGGUGCUAAUUCCUACGGAUAGCUAUGUCCGGAAGAUGAGGG
Molecule: non-coding RNA, 98 nt
Filed under: Andreesenia angusta
Lineage: Bacteria; Bacillati; Bacillota; Tissierellia; Tissierellales; Gottschalkiaceae
Description: Eubacterium angustum SAM-I sequence
Rfam family: SAM riboswitch aptamer (S box leader)
About the family: The SAM riboswitch is found upstream of a number of genes which code for proteins involved in methionine or cysteine biosynthesis in Gram-positive bacteria. The SAM riboswitch acts at the level of transcription termination control.
Source: Rfam by way of RNAcentral